AACAUAAGAUUAUUGCUCCAAGUAACCUGAAUAGAGGAGAUGGUAACAAAAACCAAUACAUGGGAUUGUUGCUCCAGGUAAUUGAAGGUGAUCUUGUAGAUAGAACAUAAAAUCCACCCAUGAUAUUUUUUCUCUCCAGAACUGGCUGUUUCGUCAAAUUUGAUCAUAAAAAUACCUAAAUAUAUAUAAAAUAUAAAUUGUGAAUUUGUGACCAUAAACUUUCAGUUACUUUUGGCGCCUUAUCUCUCAUUUUCUCUCACUCUCCCCGAUUACCAAUCGUCCAACCCUUUCGCAUUAAUGGCCUUAACCCAGCAGCAUUUGAAACCCAUUUCUUCUUCUUCUUCCUCCUUUUUUCACUUAUUAAAUCCUUCUACACUUCCACCACCUCCAUUCUCGGUCAAAACUCACUCUGACAGCCUCUUCUUUUUUCGCCCAAGAACAGUCCAGAGUCUUCGCAACUCAGCGCCAACUUUCACCAGAAGAUUGUUCCUUCCUUCGGUUUCUUCGAUCUGGGAUGCUUUGACUGGUGGCACCAACAAUGCGCGUGAAGCUGUCACGGCCAUUCGCCGUGGAAUGUCACUCUUUCGACAGGGUGAUGUUUUGGGAUCUGUUGUGGAAUUUGAUAAGGCAAUUGAGUUGGAUCCUCGACAAAAGGCAUAUCUUUGGCAAAGGGGAUUGUCGCUUUACUAUCUUGAUAGGUUUGAAGAAGGAGCAGAGCAAUUUCGAUUAGAUGUUGCUCAGAAUCCAAAUGAUACGGAGGAGUCAAUAUGGUGCUUUCUCUGUGAAGCUCAACUCUAUGGAGUUGAUGGAGCUAGGAAGCAAUUCCUUGAGGUCAGUAGAGAUCCUCGACCUGUCAUGAGGGAAGCUUAUGAUAUGUUCAAAGAUGGUGGUGAUCCAGAAAAGCUCGUUGCUGCAUUUUCAAAUGGCCGGGAGAAUGAGUUUUUUUAUGCCUCUUUAUAUGCUGGGCUUUAUUAUGAGUCUCAGACUCACAUGCUAAAGAUAUUUCCCUUUGACGAUGUUGGCACGUCCUAAUCACAUGGAAAGCCACUUCCACCAUUAUUGGUGAAUAUUACGGCUGCCGCAUUGGCACAGGAAGAAAAUUUAAGUGAAACUCUUUGACUUCCAGGAGGAAAUAUUAACUUAUGCAGCAAUUUUCUAUAUGCAGAAGGAAGCAGAUGAAGCCAAGGUUCAUUUACUUGCUGCAUGUCUGAUGAUUAUAUGGCUUCUCUAGCCAAGGUUCACUGUCUCUGUCGAACCUGGAGCUCCGCUUGAUGGUGAAAUCAAUUCAGUUGGCCUCAUUGCAAGUUCGGAUGUUCUCCUAACACAGAGCUGUAGAUUUUGUGUUGAUAACUUCUAUAUACAUUUAGAAAAACUAAUGAACAUGAUGUGGACAGAGAUGUGCAGGCAAGUAUUGCCUCUGCAAUCUUGACUUGUGUUUCACAUGGCAGAAAAUAUGGAUCUGAACUAUGAGGUAAUUGUUCAUCUUAUCACGUAUGCAUGAAUUGUCAAGGUAAUUAAGCCUGUAAAGUUCAAGAUAA
Mangifera indica (mango) is the source of this 1538-nucleotide RNA transcript. RefSeq lists it as uncharacterized. The transcript is spliced from 8 exons. Lineage: Eukaryota; Viridiplantae; Streptophyta; Magnoliopsida; Sapindales; Anacardiaceae. The record is from RefSeq and is a predicted model, not a curated record.